AAUGCCUAAAGCCUUCCCCGGCAACGGCGCCAAAAUUUGACUCAUCCAAAAACACUUAGCGGAUGGACUCGAAUUUAUACGAGGUCGUCCUAGGGUGGUAAGGUGACUCAAGUCGUCUCACAAGGAAGACUUAGCAGGGCUCUAAUCGUGUUACUCACAAGGAACUGAAAGGAAAUCUAAACACUCUAAUCAGAAGAAUGGGUCUGACACUGUCUCACACUUUAGUACCGAGACGUAAACAGAAAGAAACAAUAAACAUUAACUAAUGCAGAAAACAUAUAAGGACUAGAACAUGGCAUUUGAACAUUAACGAAAUCAACUAGAGUUUUCAACUCCAACACUAAACCAAACGAUCAUAAACUUGUAAAACAUCAAAGAUUAAUUACUACCUAGACAAGAAACUAAAUCAAGCAUAAGAUUCGAAUGCAAAGAAAAUCUUAAUCUCCAUAAAAAGAAAUCUCUAAAC
This 466-nucleotide long non-coding RNA is filed under the name Salvia miltiorrhiza (redroot sage). Its description in RNAcentral is "long non-coding RNA (SMIL_LNC014357)". Lineage: Eukaryota; Viridiplantae; Streptophyta; Magnoliopsida; Lamiales; Lamiaceae. The record is from RNAcentral.